Non-coding RNA from Podarcis lilfordi (Lilford's wall lizard), 70 nucleotides. The record is from the annotation of a GenBank genome assembly. NCBI's taxonomy places the organism in Eukaryota, Metazoa, Chordata, Lepidosauria, Squamata, Lacertidae.
GGCCAUAGUUCAGUGGUGGAGCAUGUGCUUUGCAUGCAGAAGGUCCCAGGUUUAAUCCCUGACAUCUCCA